This 301-nucleotide ribosomal RNA is filed under the name Thraustochytriidae sp. RNAcentral's name for it is "SSU rRNA". It matches the Rfam family "Eukaryotic small subunit ribosomal RNA", at positions 1305 to 1610 of the family's 1831-position model. The record is from RNAcentral. Lineage: Eukaryota; Bigyra; Thraustochytrida; Thraustochytriidae.
AUAGAUUUGUCUGGUUAAUUCCGUUAACGAACCAGACCACAGCCUACUAAAUAUUACGUGUUAUGGUAACAUAGUAUGAUACUUCUUAGAGGGACAUUUCGGGUUUAACGAAAGGAAGUUUGUGGCAAUAACAGGUCUGUGAUGCCCUUAGAUGUUCUGGGCCGCACGCGCGCUACACUGACGACUUCAACAAGUUUUUUGGCAUUGCCAAAUUUCCUUGGCCGGAAGGUCUGGGUAAUCUUUUAAAAGGUCGUCGUGACGGGGCUAGAUUCUUGCAACUAUUAAUCUCCAACGAGGAACC